RNAcentral lists this ribosomal RNA (401 nucleotides) under uncultured bacterium. RNAcentral's name for it is "bacterial SSU rRNA". It matches the Rfam family "Bacterial small subunit ribosomal RNA", at positions 354 to 772 of the family's 1533-position model. The record is from RNAcentral.
GUGGGGAAUCUUGGACAAUGGGCGCAAGCCUGAUCCAGCCAUGCCGCGUGAGUGAAGAAGGCCUUCGGGUUGUAAAGCUCUUUUACCAGGGACGAUAAUGACGGUACCUGGAGAAUAAGCCCCGGCAAACUUCGUGCCAGCAGCCGCGGUAAUACGAAGGGGGCUAGCGUUGUUCGGAAUUACUGGGCGUAAAGCGCACGUAGGCGGAUUGUUAAGUCAGAGGUGAAAUCCCGGAGCUCAACUUCGGAACUGCCUUUGAUACUGGCGAUCUUGAGUCCGGAAGAGGUGAGUGGAACUCCUAGUGUAGAGGUGGAAUUCGUAGAUAUUAGGAAGAACACCAGUGGCGAAGGCGGCUCACUGGUCCGGUACUGACGCUGAGGUGCGAAAGCGUGGGGAGCAAA